CCUUCGAUAGCUCAGUUGGUAGAGCGGAGGACUGUAGCGGACCCUUGUUGGCAUCCUUAGGUCGCUGGUUCGAAUCCGGCUCGAAGGA
This is a non-coding RNA of Branchiostoma floridae (Florida lancelet), 88 nucleotides long. NCBI's taxonomy places the organism in Eukaryota, Metazoa, Chordata, Leptocardii, Amphioxiformes, Branchiostomatidae. The record is from Rfam.